GACGAACGCUGGCGGCGUGCUUAACACAUGCAAGUCGAACGGUGAAGCUCCAGCUUGCUGGAGUGGAUCAGUGGCGAACGGGUGAGUAACACGUGAGCAACCUGCCCCUGACUCUGGAAUAAGCGCUGGAAACGGCGUCUAAUACUGGAUACGAGAAGGGUCCGCAUGGGCACUUUCUGGAAAGUUUUUCGGUUGGGGAUGGGCUCGCGGCCUAUCAGCUUGUUGGUGAGGUAAUGGCUCACCAAGGCGACGACGGGUAGCCGGCCUGAGAGGGCGACCGGCCACACUGGGACUGAGACACGGCCCAGACUCCUACGGGAGGCAGCAGUGGGGAAUAUUGCACAAUGGGCGAAAGCCUGAUGCAGCGACGCCGCGUGAGGGAUGACGGCCUUCGGGUUGUAAACCGCUUUCAGCAGGGAAGAAGCGAAAGUGACGGUACCUGCAGAAGAAGCACCGGCUAACUACGUG
RNAcentral lists this ribosomal RNA (468 nucleotides) under uncultured bacterium. RNAcentral describes it as "partial 16S ribosomal RNA". It matches the Rfam family "Bacterial small subunit ribosomal RNA", at positions 28 to 507 of the family's 1533-position model. The record is from RNAcentral.